CCCUUAGAUGUCCUGGGCCGCACGCGCGUUACACUGAUGCAUUCAACGAGCUUAUAACCUUGGCCGAGAGGCCUGGGCAAUCUUGUUAACGUGCAUCGUGAUAGGGAUAGAUUAUUGAAAUUAUUAAUCUUGAACGAGGAAUUCCUAGUAAACGCAGAUCAUCAAUCUGCAUUGAUUACGUCCCUGCCCUUUGUACACACCGCCCGUCGCACCUACCGAUUGAAUGGUCCGGUGAAGCGUUUGGACUAUGGUUUUCUGACGGUUCGCCAUUGGAUUACCGUGGGAAAUUCGUUAAACCUUAUCAUUUAGAGGAAGGAGAAGUCGUAACA
RNAcentral lists this ribosomal RNA (329 nucleotides) under uncultured eukaryote. RNAcentral describes it as "partial 18S ribosomal RNA". It matches the Rfam family "Eukaryotic small subunit ribosomal RNA", at positions 1470 to 1796 of the family's 1831-position model. The record is from RNAcentral.